ACCUUCGGGUGAGUGGCGGACGGGUGAGUAACGCGUGGGAACGUGCCCUUUGGUACGGAACAACUGAGGGAAACUUCAGCUAAUACCGUAUGUGCCCUACGGGGGAAAGAUUUAUCGCCAUUGGAGCGGCCCGCGUUGGAUUAGCUAGUUGGUGGGGUAAUGGCCCACCAAGGCGACGAUCCAUAGCUGGUCUGAGAGGAUGAUCAGCCACACUGGGACUGAGACACGGCCCAGACUCCUACGGGAGGCAGCAGUAGGGAAUCUUGCGCAAUGGGCGAAAGCCUGACGCAGCCAUGCCGCGUGAAUGAUGAAGGUCUUAGGAUUGUAAAAUUCUUUCACCGGGGACGAUAAUGACGGUACCCGGAGAAGAAGCCCCGGCUAACUUCGUGCCAGCAGCCGCGGUAAUACGAAGGGGGCUAGCGUUGCUCGGAAUUACUGGGCGUAAAGGGCGCGUAGGCGGACAGCUUAGUCAGAGGUGAAAGCCCAGGGCUCAACCUUGGAAUUGCCUUUGAUACUGGCUGUCUUGAGUGCGGGAGAGGUGUGUGGAACUCCGAGUGUAGAGGUGAAAUUCGUAGAUAUUCGGAAGAACACCAGUGGCGAAGGCGACACACUGGCCCGUUACUGA
This 625-nucleotide ribosomal RNA is filed under the name uncultured bacterium. RNAcentral describes it as "bacterial SSU rRNA". It matches the Rfam family "Bacterial small subunit ribosomal RNA", at positions 83 to 743 of the family's 1533-position model. The record is from RNAcentral.